This 117-nucleotide ribosomal RNA is filed under the name Danio rerio (zebrafish). The record is from RNAcentral. Lineage: Eukaryota; Metazoa; Chordata; Actinopteri; Cypriniformes; Danionidae.
GGCCACAGCCAUUUCCCCCUGCAGCUCAAGACCGGUUACUCACUGAAGCUAAGCAAGGCUGAGCCUGGUCAGUACCUGGAUAGGAGACCACAUGGGAAAACUAGGUUGCUGUUGGAA